Molecule: ribosomal RNA, 497 nt
Filed under: uncultured bacterium
Lineage: Bacteria
Description: partial 16S ribosomal RNA
Rfam family: Bacterial small subunit ribosomal RNA
Source: RNAcentral
GAUGAACGCUGGCGGCGUGCCUAAUACAUGCAAGUCGAGCGAACAGACGAGGAGCUUGCUCCUCUGACGUUAGCGGCGGACGGGUGAGUAACACGUGGAUAACCUACCUAUAAGACUGGGAUAACUUCGGGAAACCGGAGCUAAUACCGGAUAAUAUAUUGAACCGCAUGGUUCAAUAGUGAAAGACGGUUUUGCUGUCACUUAUAGAUGGAUCCGCGCCGCAUUAGCUAGUUGGUAAGGUAACGGCUUACCAAGGCAACGAUGCGUAGCCGACCUGAGAGGGUGAUCGGCCCCCCUGGAACUGAGACACGGUCCAGACUCCUACGGGAGGCAGCAGUAGGGCCUCUUCCGCAAUGGGCGAAAGCCUGACGGAGCAACGCCGCGUGAGUGAUGAAGGUCUUCGGAUCGUAAAACUCUGUUAUUAGGGAAGAACAAAUGUGUAAGUAACUAUGCACGUCUUGACGGUACCUAAUCAGAAAGCCACGGCUAACUACGUG